Molecule: long non-coding RNA, 691 nt
Filed under: Monodelphis domestica (gray short-tailed opossum)
Lineage: Eukaryota; Metazoa; Chordata; Mammalia; Didelphimorphia; Didelphidae
Description: lncRNA (ENSMODG00000035202.2)
Source: RNAcentral
GGACCUCAGAAGCCAUCUAAUAUAAUCCCUUCGUUUAAAAAAGGGGGGAAAUGAAGACAGGUUAGGUGAAUUUUUCAAGUUUACAAAAGCAGUUGAUGUCAGAGGUAUAUUUGAACCAAAGUCCUCUAACCUCCAAAUCUUUGUACUACAGCAUACUUCCUCCUCCUCUACUUUAAAGAAGGUAUAGUGGAUCUCAAGAAGAUUAGCCGACACCUAAAGUAAUCAGGGGAGCUGAAAAGAAGAUGGAUGAAAGAAAGUAAAGUUAAGAUGUUGGAGUUUUGGCUUCAAUCCUCUAUUGCUCAAAAUAGAAAGGAAGCAUGAAGAUACAUGCACAAAGGAGGAAGAGAAAAAUGAUAUUCCCAGAGGUCAGGUUGUUAAAUAUUUACCAACACACUCCUUCCUGAAAUCUUCUAUGGAGCAAAUCAUGGACAAUUCACAGCAUAAGAUCAUUGUUCUUCCUCUUGAGUUCCAAUAUUCUUGAGGAACAUACAUCUACUUCCUUUGCAGAUUUGGGACUAUCUGCAUUUGAUGCCUCCUGGGAAAUAAUGAGGACUUCCUCUAACUUUGAUGCACCCUUACCUUUCAGGAUGCUGGCUUUUUCAGUUUAGCUUCUUCUUGAGUAAUCUCAUACUGCUUUGGCUUUGAUUAUGUUUUAUGCAUUUUGAACCUGAAAUACUUGUCUGCUAAUAGC